Molecule: transfer RNA, 82 nt
Filed under: Leptonema sp. (in: bacteria)
Lineage: Bacteria; Pseudomonadati; Spirochaetota; Leptospiria; Leptospirales; Leptospiraceae
Description: tRNA-Leu
Rfam family: tRNA
About the family: Transfer RNA (tRNA) molecules are approximately 80 nucleotides in length. Their secondary structure includes four short double-helical elements and three loops (D, anti-codon, and T loops).
Source: RNAcentral
GCCCGGGUGAUGGAAUGGUAGACAUACGGGACUUAAAAUCCCGGGGCAAUUUGCCGUGCGGGUUCAAGUCCCGCUCCGGGUA